CACCUUGGCAAUGGGCAAAAGACACUUUGUUGUUAGUGUUUUUAUACCAGUCAGAGGCAGAGAAGAUGGAAAUCCUUUGUUCAGCCUAGCUUGAUGCCUGGUUUGGUGACCGAAGAUGUCUUAUACCUAGGACUCAUAA
Small nucleolar RNA from Mus pahari (shrew mouse), 139 nucleotides. RefSeq annotates it as small nucleolar RNA SNORA48. The record is from RefSeq and is a predicted model, not a curated record. Lineage: Eukaryota; Metazoa; Chordata; Mammalia; Rodentia; Muridae. The transcript has a single exon.